CGAUGUUGGGUAGAGUUAUAUGGAAUGAAAGAUGUGAAUUUCUUUUUGAAUUCUAUUCAUUUAAUUUUCUCUCUCUCGUUCCAUAUAUCGUCUAAUCAACAAAGU
Molecule: microRNA precursor, 105 nt
Filed under: Medicago truncatula (barrel medic)
Lineage: Eukaryota; Viridiplantae; Streptophyta; Magnoliopsida; Fabales; Fabaceae
Description: MIR1507 microRNA precursor family
Rfam family: MIR1507 microRNA precursor family
Source: Rfam by way of RNAcentral